GCCGGAGUGGCCGAGCGGUUCUAGGCGCUUCAGCCUGGAACGCUGCGGUCGCAGGUUCGAAUCCUGCCUCUGGCA
RNAcentral lists this transfer RNA (75 nucleotides) under Schistocerca americana (American grasshopper). RNAcentral's name for it is "tRNA-Ser". It matches the Rfam family "tRNA". From Rfam's summary of the family: Transfer RNA (tRNA) molecules are approximately 80 nucleotides in length. Their secondary structure includes four short double-helical elements and three loops (D, anti-codon, and T loops). The record is from RNAcentral. Lineage: Eukaryota; Metazoa; Arthropoda; Insecta; Orthoptera; Acrididae.